Molecule: small nucleolar RNA, 85 nt
Organism: Papaver somniferum (opium poppy)
Lineage: Eukaryota; Viridiplantae; Streptophyta; Magnoliopsida; Ranunculales; Papaveraceae
Product: small nucleolar RNA R38
Exons: 1
Source: RefSeq, a predicted model, not a curated record
UUUCGUGGAUGAUGAGAAGUUGAAAUCAAUCAGUUAUCCCUGUCUGAUAUAAUAUAUGCUGAUUUUUCUAUGCUCUGACACUAUC